Molecule: long non-coding RNA, 851 nt
Organism: Balaenoptera musculus (blue whale)
Lineage: Eukaryota; Metazoa; Chordata; Mammalia; Artiodactyla; Balaenopteridae
Exons: 2
Source: RefSeq, a predicted model, not a curated record
CUUUUAUUCCACUUCUUUUUUUCCUGCACCAAUCUCUGUAAAUAUAUACUUUUGGGGAACAACCUACCUAACCUUGCCAGGUGAAUUAAAGUGUGAUUGGAGCUUUUCCCCCAACAAAAGGAAAAGCCUUAAAGAUAAUCUUAAAUUAGAGUAGCAGUCACUGUGGCACUACUUGAAAAUAUAAGAAAACUCUUCUAUUUUCCCGUCCAAAAUCUUGCUAAGUCAAGGAACUACAGGGAAAAACUGCCUAAGCAACAACUCUUGGCCAAACUCCAUAGAAGCCAGGAGAGGGCUCUGGAACAGCAACUGAGAAAUAACUUGAGCCUUUGUAAGUCCCCUCCUACAGCAGAAUCAGUUUCCUUCAAGGCCCCCUUGAACUAUGUGACACCCGUGUUUCUGCUCAGGAUCUUCUGUGAACAAACAGUCCUCAAUUCUUGCAGGCCAGCACUUGGCUUCCGUCAUUGUGAUGUGAUCAAGGGUUCCCCUGACACAUGGCCUGAAAUGGUGCCAGGAGCUCCAGGAGAAGAUGCUGAAGCAGCAGCUUCCUUUUGAAAAGGAAAAAACGAAUUGCCUCAGAGCCACAGCAGUGAGCUAGAGGUUGAGGUCAUUUUCUUGUGAAAUGUUCAGCCGCUUACUCUUACCCACAACUUACAGCGAUGUUGACCAUUGAGGUAAAAGGAUCCGUACUACGUAAUGUGUGACUCUAUGGAUGUCAGUUUCUUUGCCAACUCUUGACUGAUUAAAGGUCUGUAUAAAUUUGUCAUAACUCCUAGACAGGCCUAUUGGUGUAAAUGAAGAGAACAAGUCCAAAAAAAUCACUUUACCUUGGACACCAUUUGCUUUCCCUUAAU